CAGCCGCCGCGGGAAUACGAAGGGUGCAAGCGUUAAUCGGAAUUACUGGGCGUAAAGCGUGCGUAGGCGGUGAGUUAAGUCUGCUGUGAAAUCCCCGGGCUCAACCUGGGAAUGGCAGUGGAUACUGGCUCGCUAGAGUGUGUCAGAGGGGGGUAGAAUUCCACGUGUAGCAGUGAAAUGCGUAGAGAUCGGGAGGAACAUCAGUGGCGAAGGCGGCCAUCUGGGACAACACUGACGCUGAGGCACGAAAGCGUGGGGAGCAAACAGGAUUAGAUACCCGUGUAGUCCCUGUCUCUUAUAC
This 301-nucleotide ribosomal RNA is filed under the name uncultured bacterium. RNAcentral's name for it is "partial 16S ribosomal RNA". It matches the Rfam family "Bacterial small subunit ribosomal RNA", at positions 509 to 807 of the family's 1533-position model. The record is from RNAcentral.